AUAGCUUCUCAGCCUUUUGGCUAAGAUCAAGUGUAGAUUUUGUACAGACAUUGAUUCAUUAUUAUAAAUUUCACAUCUGAAGCAUUCAGCCAGCGUUACAACCAACCUGGAUGGCCCAGAUAAUCAGUAGUUUGAUCUGACAGUACAAUUAAGUCAAUGGAUGGCUAC
This 168-nucleotide small nuclear RNA is filed under the name Rhinolophus ferrumequinum (greater horseshoe bat). RNAcentral describes it as "U2 spliceosomal RNA (ENSRFEG00010014085.1)". It matches the Rfam family "U2 spliceosomal RNA". From Rfam's summary of the family: U2 is a small nuclear RNA (snRNA) component of the spliceosome (involved in pre-mRNA splicing). The record is from Rfam by way of RNAcentral. Lineage: Eukaryota; Metazoa; Chordata; Mammalia; Chiroptera; Rhinolophidae.